GCCCUUGUAGCUCAACGGGAUAGAGCCCGGCCCUCUAAGCCGCGAGACGGUGGUUCGACCCCACCCGAGGGCACCA
RNAcentral lists this transfer RNA (76 nucleotides) under Patescibacteria group bacterium. Its description in RNAcentral is "tRNA-Arg". It matches the Rfam family "tRNA". From Rfam's summary of the family: Transfer RNA (tRNA) molecules are approximately 80 nucleotides in length. Their secondary structure includes four short double-helical elements and three loops (D, anti-codon, and T loops). Further hydrogen bonds mediate the characteristic L-shaped molecular structure. tRNAs have two regions of fundamental functional importance: the anti-codon, which is responsible for specific mRNA codon recognition, and the 3' end, to which the tRNAs corresponding amino acid is attached (by aminoacyl-tRNA synthetases). tRNAs cope with the degeneracy of the genetic code in two manners: having more than one tRNA (with a specific anti-codon) for a particular amino acid; and 'wobble' base-pairing, i.e. permitting non-standard base-pairing at the 3rd anti-codon position. The record is from RNAcentral.